RNAcentral lists this long non-coding RNA (3102 nucleotides) under Prunus persica (peach). Its description in RNAcentral is "long non-coding RNA (PPER_LNC002063)". Lineage: Eukaryota; Viridiplantae; Streptophyta; Magnoliopsida; Rosales; Rosaceae. The record is from RNAcentral.
GACAACCAAGAGGCUAAUAUCACCAAAGAAUUGAUGAUUCAAAAGAAAAUUUCAUGAAAAGUUUGGGGAGAUUUACCUUGAGAGUGAAAUUUACUGAAUGAACUGAGAAAUGAUUGAGGAACGCGAGAAGUGCUGGAGAGAUACUAAGACUGCCAUAGACCAAAUUUAUGAAGAACAAUAAAUUCAUAACAAACCAAUGAUGUACAAACAAAAGUAAUAAGUAAUGACAAUUAUCAAAGGGUUUUGUUUCUUUUACACACUUUACUUUACACAUUUAUUUUUAAAUUAUAUUUAAGUUUAAGCACAUUUACUUUACGCACUUAUUCUUCGUUUCAUUACUUUUCACUUUCAAUUUUCAGCUCCACUCACUCUACAUUAUUUGGUUGCUCACAUAAAGCCUUGGCCCAUAAGUAGUGAAAGAACCUAGGCCUUAAGAAGCAGGGCCGUCCCUGAGAUUUUGAGGGCCCUGUGUGAACUUAAAUUGGGGCUUCACAUAAUCUAAUACGAAAUACUAUAAAUAAAAAUUUGGCAUAACUUAAUGUCAUAAACAAUUUUUUUUAUAACUAAAAGUCAUGAAUAAAUAUAUAAUGACAAUCAGAAAUCAAAUUCAUAAAAAUUUAAAUGUUUCUAUUUGAUAAAAUUAAAUGUUUGGUACAAAAAUAAGCUCAUUGUGCCCCUACAAGGCCCUUGCUACCUCCAAUAAGCAAUUUGUGUUUAAUAGGAAACAAAAUUAGCAAUCACAAAUUAAAGAGUAGUUGCACACAAAUUCCUGAAAUUUGAAUUUGACUAUUUGAUUUUGAGUGUUCUUUAUGAAUAUAGGAAUUAGGGUUUUCUCUUUUUGGUGUUGAAAUUCCUGAAAUUGAAAGAAUAACUAAAAUUGUCAAAGGAUUGAAAAAAGAACCAAAGAGAGAUUGAUGAAUGAUGAUGGUUACUUACCAGAAAAUCAGAGUUUAAAAGAAAAAAAGAAGCCAUGAAGUUUUUUUUGUUUUGUUUUGAAUGAAAAAAGUACUUUUCUUAGAUGAGAAAUUUUUUUAAAUUUUUUUUUUAAAAGAAUGAUCGGAGUAGAAAGUGUUUAGGGGAUAUAUAUAUAUAUACUCCUCCUGUGGUUAGCUUCGAUGUUUCCUUUUAUUUCAAGGGUUUUUGGUUUUCAUUUAUUUAUUUAUUAUGUAAAGUUUUUACUUAUAAUGCAAAAAUAAUAUAAAAACUGCAUAUAGACCGACUUCAGCAAGAAUCGAACUCUGACACUACGUUAAAUGGAGAAGCACUGAAGCCAACUCCACCAGACACGCCCUUGUGCAAAUGUCUAGCACGCUAUACUAUAUAUACAAUUCCUAUAGUAUUAAUAUAUAUACUAUAAAGAAUUUUUUUUUCGGGGGGCCCUUAAGAAUCGAGGGCUCUGUGCGGUGGCACCACUUGCGCCACCCCAGGGCCGCCCCUGUUAAGAAGGUUCCUUGCUCGGCUGAACAAUCGUUUGAUUAAGGUCAAAUCUCGGACGCAAGAUACACUCACAUUCCAUCCAAACCAAAUUCGUGGCUUGGUGGUGGCACACCAAGCACUCAAAAAAAGAAAGACCAACAGUUCCUUCCGUCGGUCGCCUCAGUAAAAAGAUGGAAAUAAGUAAUCUAUAUAUAUAAAGCAAAAGGCAGAGAAUGGUGAAACAUUCAAAAUACCAAAAAAUGCCCUUGGUUAAUGCAAACAUUAAGAAUUCAAAUUAUUAAUUAAAUGAGGAUAAUAUGGUAAAUUCACACUUUUUCAUAUUUAAAAAAAUUAAAAGAAAAAGAAAAAGCAGAUAAUGGAUCCUAUUUUUAUGGAACACAACUACCCAUUAUUUUUUUUAAUUCUAAAAUAAAUUUACUUAUUUUUUUAAAAAAACCUCUCGCAAGCGCGGAAGCGCGUGCAGAGAGGCUAGUUUAUAUAAAAUAAAAUAAAAAAGAUCUGAAAUAAUAAAAGAAACUGUAUUAGGAACAACUAUUAGAGCAGUUUCGUACAUUUGAUUUGAACAACAAAUCUAACUUGCUGAACUUGUCUCAAGUAUCUCAGACUUGCAAGGAAAAAUACAUCAGCCCAUAGACAGAUCUAAACUUAGAUCUACAAGAAGAGAGAGAAGGAGAAAACUAAAGCAAGAGAAGAAAACCGCACCAGAGAAAGGGAAAGAAAAAAAGAAAAGGAAGAAAAAGAGAAAGGAUGAAGGAAGAAGGAAAAGUGGGAGAGUUUGUGAUGAAGUCUAGGGCCAAUAUGGAAUUUGACCAAUAUAUGAUACAGGGCGUACAGUAACCCAAACAUAUAUACCCAAAAUACAGAGAAUAGAAGGAUAAAGCAGUAUAUUUUAGGGCAAAAUCCCAACAGAAACUCAACAGACUAAUGUCCGAAACUAUAUUCAUCAACAAAAAACAUAAAUGCACGAGUAUCUAAAUAGACUAUUUAUACUAGAAUACAGAAAACCUAAUUGACAUAGGAAAUUAAAUCAAAUCUUAGUAAGAAUGGGAAAACAAAAGAAGUAACUAAUAAUUUAAAGUAAAUAGAACCCUAGCCCAAAUGACUAACGGGCCUGUGUAAUCUUAGAGUGCUUCAUAGAUGCUUCUGCAUCAAUAUAUUACUAUAAUAGGAACACAGGUGACGUAGACGACUCCGAUGGGAUUCAUCGCUGGGAUCAAUUAUACUUUCAACCUACUUGCUUGUUUUUUUCUAUUCUUGGAUGUGCUUGAGUUUUAUAAUUUUAAAUAGGAAGAAAAAAGAACAAAAUGAAAGAUCCAAAAUUCCACACCACACUAAUGAAAUAUUAAAACAAAAUGGCAAAGAAAGGUUCACCUGCAUAAGAAGAGACUGACGGACAUCGGAGACUGAGGUUUAGCCGGUGUGAAUAGACAGAAGAAUUUGAUGAGUGAGAGGCAGGGGUUUUUUGCCAAAAUGGGAUACCCGGGCUGAGUGCAGCUUCGAGUCUAAAGAUUAAACGGAGGAGCGAAUAGACAGAAGAAUUUGAUGAGUGAGAGACAGAAGUAUAUAUGCUUUCAUAUACAUAUUUGAAUUAUAUGUCAAAUUCUCUGUUGAUUGGAUUGUUUGAAUUAUAUGGCAUAUAAACUCACAUGGGAUAUUAAUCCCGAC